CGCAGGUGGCCCCGGGGCGGCCCGGCGCGGGCACGGAGCGCGGUGACUUCCCCAGGCCGGGCGCCGAGACCUCAGAGCCGAUGGAAAGCGGGGGCGAUGCCGGAGCGGCACCUCGGCGGGGAGGCGGCGGGUUCCCGGGCGCUGCCCAGCCCGGCGCUCCCCCGGCUGCGGACGGCGGCGUGAACAUGGAUGGGCCCGGCGGGAGCAGGAGCGGGGCGGCCGCCGCUGCGGGACCGGCAGCGGAGGGAGCGCCCGCGCCGCCGCCCCGAGCGCCGUGCUCCAGGGACCCCAAAAUGGUCCAUCAGCGGUUCCUGCGGCGGAGCGUGGUGGACUCGGACCAGGAGGAGCCCGCGUUCGACCUUCCCGAGUCGGAGCAUCAGAGGAAAAUCAUCCUGCUCCCCAAAACCAGGAGGAUAAUCGCGGAGAGGGCGAAGGCAGGGCACGGGGCGGCGGAGAAGGUGUGCCUGGAGGCUGAGCCCCCGGGGCCGCUGCAGGCGGGGCCGGUCCCCGGUAGUGCGGCGGGGCCCGAGGAGCAGAAGGAGGCCGGCAAGGAUGCGGAGAGGAAGGAGGCGUCGGACGCGGCCAGGGAGCAGGGCAAGGCCAAGAAAGAGGAGCCCGAGGAGGAGGCUGACAUGAAAGCGGUCGCCACCUCGCUGGAUGGCAGGUUCCUCAAGUUUGAUAUUGAACUCGGGAGGGGAUCCUUCAAAACGGUCUAUAAGGGACUGGACACGGAGACGUGGGUGGAAGUCGCUUGGUGUGAACUUCAGGACAGAAAAUUAACAAAAGUAGAGAGACAGAGAUUUAAAGAGGAAGCAGAAAUGCUGAAAGGUCUACAGCACCCAAACAUUGUAAGGUUUUAUGACUUCUGGGAAUCCUGUGUAAAAGGAAAAAGGUGCAUCGUGCUGGUUACCGAACUGAUGACCUCUGGAACACUGAAGACGUAUCUGAAGAGAUUUAAAGUGAUGAAACCAAAAGUUCUGCGUAGUUGGUGCCGGCAAAUCCUGAAGGGUCUUCUUUUCUUGCAUACGAGAACUCCACCAAUAAUUCACAGAGACUUAAAAUGUGACAAUAUUUUUAUUACUGGACCAACUGGAUCUGUGAAAAUAGGAGACUUAGGUCUGGCAACCCUCAAGAGAGCUUCGUUUGCCAAAAGUGUAAUAGGUACACCAGAAUUUAUGGCCCCAGAAAUGUAUGAGGAACACUACGAUGAAUCCGUUGAUGUCUAUGCGUUUGGAAUGUGCAUGUUGGAAAUGGCUACCUCAGAAUACCCUUACUCAGAAUGCCAGAAUGCUGCUCAAAUUUACCGGAAAGUAACCUGUGGUAUAAAGCCAGCAAGCUUUGAGAAAGUUACGGAUCCUGAAAUUAAGGAGAUAAUUGGGGAGUGUAUUUGCAAAAAUAAGGAAGAAAGAUAUGAAAUUAAAGAUUUAUUAAGCCAUGCCUUUUUUGCUGAAGAUACUGGGGUAAGAGUAGAACUUGCGGAAGAAGACCAUGGUAGGAAAUCCUCUAUUGCCUUAAGACUCUGGGUAGAAGAUCCUAAGAAACUGAAAGGAAAACCCAAAGAUAAUGGAGCCAUUGAGUUUACUUUUGAUCUGGAGAAGGAAACUCCUGAUGAUGUUGCACAAGAAAUGAUUGACUCGGGAUUUUUUCAUGAAAAUGAUCUCAAGAUAGUUGCGAAGUCAAUACGUGACAGAGUAGCAUUAAUACUAUGGAGAAGAGAGAGAAUUUGGCCUAGAAUACAGUCAGAGGAACGUCGAGAUUCUGAAUGCUUGGAGAAGUCGAAGACACCGCAUCCACAACAGGUUCAAGUCACGUACCUUUCCCACACCGGUCAUCACAUCCUGUCCGAGUCGGAGGAGCCCGAGGCAGACCAGCAUCCCUUCCAGCAAAACCUGCCCACCAGCGUCACAUCUGUUGCAUCUGAUAGCACGUUUGACAGUGGUCAGGGGUCCACUGUUUAUUCAGACUCGCAGAGCAGCCAGCAAAGCGUCAUCUACUCAUCUCUGCCCGACGCCGUGCCGCCUGCCAUCCAGCGGGUGUACAGCCCGCCCCUCAGCGAGAGCCAGCCGCUGCCCCACAGCCUUCCGCAGCUGGGGCACUACCAGCAGCCCUCAGCACCUGCCCUGCCCGUGGUUCAGGCUCCGCCUGCAGUGGUUCCCCAGAGACCCCAGCACUACCAGGAGCCAGCGAUGACGUUCCCAGUGGUGCAGCCGACCACCGUGGCCUCCAUGCAGCUGGGGCAGUCACAGCCGGUGCUGGCCAGCCAGCAGCAACCCAUAUCACAGCAAACUUCUCUGCAGCAGGUUCUUGCCAGCCAGCCAGUUUGCCCCAUCCAGCCUGCACCUCAUCUCCUGCCCCAGUACCAGCCCCAGACCUCUCAGGUGGCAGCCAGUAGUACACCACUGAAACCCCUUCAGAUUUCAACUGUGCCACAGCUUCCGCCAGUCGCCCCUUCCCAGAUUCCUCAGUUUCCUGUCAUUCCUGCAAUUACUCCUCUGGCAGGACUUGACAACCUUCCUCCAAACCUCUCUGACAUACCUGCUGCAAACGUGCCCCCCAUACCUGCUCCUUCUCAGUAUUUUGCUCCAGCUGUGAUUUUACCAAGCCUCCCCAUGAACCCCACUUUGCCCAUGGCACCAAACUCCCCUGCCCUCCCCAUGCAGGCAGUGAACCUUCCUCAUACAACUGUGGCUUCUCUGGUCUUGCCCUGCCAAACAAUAGUGCCAAAUAUGUCGGCUGCUACAAUACCAUUGCUCGCUGUGGCUCCGCCGGGAGUGCCAGCGCUGCCGCCGCACCACGCGGUGUCCCAGCUGCCCCAGCAGCAGAUGUACCCGACCACCUUCCAGCAGAUAAUCCAGAGCGAAGCGCCCUCUCCCCAUCACACGCAGAGCACGCAAGCCGUUUCCCAGCCGCAGCAGCCUCCACCUCCUCAGUCGCUUCAGCCAAGCGUAAUUCAUCCUUCAGAACAGACGUUGUCUGCCCCUGGGGCCGGUAACCAGCAGGUUACUGGACACACUCAGUAUGGUUUGGAAACUGGAGCCCAGGUGCCGGUACUCCCAGUGCAGCCUUCGCUAGUCAUGUCACCGCCUUUGCAGUUGCAACCUGAACUAUUGCCUCCCCGCGUCGCUCCAGAAAGCAUUUCACAGAUUCAUGGCAGCCUUGCUACAGCUAGUCCACCAGUGCCCAUAGAUCACUGUCUGCCUCUCCAGCCUUCGGGUGUUCUGCAGCUUCAGCCAGACCUUUCCCAGCCCCUGGCUCAGCAGCUCCCUGCUCCCGGCUCAGCCGUGCAGGCAGUGGCAGAGACAUCGCAAGAGGAGCAGGCAAUCCAGGACAAACUUCAAACUCUGUCACAGAGCUGUGAAAGCUACAUGAGUCCAGAUGUUGCUUCAGGUAAAGAGAUGAGUGACAGCUUUGAAGGAGCAAUAGGAAGUGGAAAACAAGAAGGAAAGUCUUCAAAGAAGCAUAAGAAAUCUACACGUGCUCGUUCACGCCAGGAGAAGACCAACAGACCCAAACUGACCAUAUUAAAUGUUUGUAACACAGGGGAUAAGAUGGUGGAGUGCCAGCUUGAAACACACAAUCACAAAAUGGUGACUUUUAAGUUUGAUUUGGAUGGUGAUGCACCAGAGGAAAUUGCUACUUACAUGGUGGAGAAUGAAUUCAUAUUGCAGAGUGAGAAAGAGACAUUUAUUGAACAAAUGAAAGAUAUAAUUGAUAAAGCAGAAGAUAUGCUCAGUGAAGAUACAGAAGGAGAACGAAGUUCUGAUCAGGGAACAAGUCCCCAGCAGGAUACAGAUGGAGCAGAAAUGAAUGAGGAGAAGCGGCAAUCUCAAGUGAAGACGCCCGUGUAUCAACAAAAUGUUUUGCAUACUGGAAAAAGGUGGUUUAUUAUAUGUCCUGUGGUGGAAAACCCUACUACUGAUGCACCAGAAUUUUCUCCACCAGUUCCUCAGAGUGCACAACAAUCUGAAGGCCCAGACCUGGAGCAGUCAGAUGAUCAGCAAGCAAACUCUGCGGUGCCGGAUGCGCCUGGUGUCUUAGCUUGUCAGCAACUUCCUCUACAAGCAAGCGUCUGUGACAGCCCCAUUGGGGCCUCUCCAUCUUUGGCACAAAUUCCUGCUGCAGCAUCUUCAGCCGGCUUACCGAGCCAGGCAGAGCUCUCAGCUCCAGCGCCGCCGGGACCCGCUCCAAACGUCUUGGAGCAGGCAGCUGCUAACACAGGCCAGCCGGAAUGUCCCCUACUGAAAGCAGCGUUGCCCGCCACACCUGGCACUCCGGCCCCAGGUGCUGCCCCGCUGGAGGAGCCCACUGAUGCUCCCCUGGCUGCUCAGCCUACUCAGCACAUGCAGCAGCAGGCAGACGAGGCCAUGUGUAUCCCUGACGUGGAGAUAGCAUGUUGCAGUGUCGGGCCGCCCAAAGCAGCCCCGCCAGCUCCUGCCAAGGCAGCGGAGCUCUGCCCGCUCCCUGUGCUCUCAGAUGCCGUUGUUUUGGAGCGGCAGCCUGCGGCCCAGAUCCCUCACCUGCCAGAGGCCGGCCAGCCUGGCAUGGUGCAGCACUCCUUUGUGAACCAAGUGUUUCCUGCAUCUGUUGCAUCCGAGUCUCUCAAUCUGGCAGGGUCUCAACUUCAGAGCCCUACUCAGGUGUCCAUGGCCGCAUCCCAGCAGCACGUGAUGCUGUCCCAGACACAGCCCGUCACCUGCGCCAGCAUGGGGAUCAGCCUGCUGCAGCAACAGCAGCAGCAGCCGUGCACUGUGGAGUCAGACGGAGAGGGGCCACCCCGGGUGGACUUUGUUGACAACACGAUAAAAAGCCUCGAUGAGAAAUUGCGCAACUUACUUUACCAGGAAUAUGUCCCGACGUCUUCUGCAUCAGCAGGAACUCCAGAUGCUUUUGUGCCAUUGGAACAGGCAGAUAGUGAGUUUAACUUGCCACCAUUUACCGAAGAUCAAGUUCCCAAGUUGGUGUUGGAUUUAAGAGAACCAGGCCAUAAUGCCAUGGAUACCAGCCAGGAGGUGAAAGCUGCUGAGGCCCAGUUUGUGCCGGCUGUGCCACCUGAGAUCGCACCUUACCCAGUAUCGCGUGAAAAAUCUGAGGUCACUGGCAUCGGGGCUGAGUCCUUGGAAGCACGAGGUGGGUCAGCAAGCAAAAGAGGAUCAGCUGCAAGCAUCACUCCAGCUCCUGUGACUCCAGCAAAGGGCCUCCUUCAGGUUGCACCUACAUCAUCGAGCGUAGCUAAACAGAUGGAAACUUCUAAAACGAACGAGAAGGCAAAGGCUACAACUUCAUCUACGCACACGGAUAAUGCAAGGCAGCUAUCGACAGCAGAUGGGGUGAUAAAUAACCUUCAAAGGGAUGACUCUCUAGACUCCGGUUCCUAUGGAAAACAGGCUGGAACUCAUGAUAGCGGUACACCAGCCAAAACUAUUGGCAGGUUUUCAGUAAGCAGCACGCAAGAUGAAUUAACUUUAGCAGCGCCGCAUUGCUUAAGAUUCUCUGCGCCCCCGGACGUCUAUUUGGAUGAGCUUCCUUCCAGCCCUGACCAGAAGACAGCUGUCCGACGGGUGCAGACGGCCUCGUCUGUUGAUGUCCUCUGUGACCAGGGCUCGAGUGAUUCUGCUGAGGAGCCCUUCCAUCGGCAGGCUGCUGCGGCUCAGCCAUCCCCUCCGAGCAGCAGCGCAGCCUCCGACUUAAUUAAAAAAGCAGCAGCUUUUCUGCAAAGGACUGGAAAAGUAGGCUCCCAAGGCCCCGAUUCACCGAACGGGCAAGGAACAAAGAUUCCUACCAUCAACAUAACGUCGUUCCACUCGCAGUCAUCAUACAUGAGCAGUGACAAUGACUCUGAAUUUGAAGAUGCAGAUAUGAAGAAAGAAUUGCAGAACUUGAGAGAAAAGCAUAUGAAAGAAAUUGCCGAACUUCAGACUCAGCAAAAGAAUGAGAUAGAGGCGCUGUACAUGCGGUUAGGGAAGCCCCUUCCUCCCAACAUGGGCUUCCUUCACUCAGCCCCGCCAAGUGGCCGUCGCCGAAGAACCAGCAAAAAUAAACUGAAAGGUGGAAAGCUAUUAAACCCUCUGGUUCAACAGCUCAGGAGUGGAACAUCAAGCACAAGUAAUGUUUCAGACUCUAAAGACUCACCCCACAAGGAAACAACUAAGGCUCAGCCUGGAUCUCCCGAAACAACAGGAGUAACUUCUUCUGUGUCAGCCACAUUUGGGAAGUCUGUUCAGACACAGCAGCCGUGCUCUGUCAAAGCCUCUUUGUCUUCUGACAUCUGCUCCGGCUUAGGCCCCGAAGGAGGCGAUGUGAACGCAAGCUCUGGCCAAGGAUCCUCUACAAACAGUCUUGUAACGUGUCCUGAGCCCCUCCCGCAAUCAACUCUGCAGGUUCAGGCCAACAACAGCAACAACAAGAAGGGAACGUUCACCGAUGAUCUUCACAAGCUGGUUGACCAGUGGACAAGCAAAACUGUUGGAGCUGCACAGGCAAAACCUUCUUUAAACCAACUGAAGCAGAACCAAAAAAGGCAGGACAUGGAGCCAAAGGCAAAUCCCAUGCAAACACAGAAUGAGACAUGUGGAGUUAAUUCAGUAAGAACAGGAUUGGGGAAAAGGUGCAUUGCUCCAGUGUCUUGUCCCAUGUCAGCUGCACUAACUCCUGGAGUUUCACCAUCCAUGCCAGUGCCUAUGCCAGUUUGCACCGUAGGCGGCACGGACACCUCUCUCCUGUUUGCGAGUUGCUUUUUGCCUCUUUUACUGUGCUUAGAGUCUACAUCUGCGCCUCUCAGUCUAAAGGCACAAGGUAACCACUAACCCUGAUUUGCUGAUGGUAAGUUUCAUGUCUAUAGAUGGCACUGAGGGCCAUCCCUACAGGCACAGGGAACCAAAGGAGCGGUCAAACCUGAAGGCGCAUUGCUCUGUAUCUCUACUGCAAUGACGUUCUAUGCUGUCUGCUGACGGGCAGAGAUGUCUUGUGCUGCCAAGCUGUGAAUUGUAUAGUUCUAUUGUACUUUGAGCAUUAUUCUGUCUAAAUUAUUUUGUUUGUACCCUUUGAAUAUAUUAUUCCAUCAAUUCAGUUAGAAUUGAAUUUUAUAGACAAUUAUGCAGAGUCUUCUGCCUGGGCAAAAUACUUACUGUAGUAAGAGAUUUCUGUUCUCUGUAACAUGUAUCUUUAAUUUGUUUGGGUUUUUUAGAUUCAUGUCUGUAUGCUUCAUGAGCAAACAUGGAAAAUAUGUUCUCACACCAGUUUUCCUUCAGCUUGCACUGAAUCCUACAGUUUGUCGCUAUUGCCUGUUGUAUAGACCAUCCCUUGUAUACUGACAGAGUCAGUGGCACUAAAAGCCCCGAGAAAUUGUAUAGAUCGAAAAGAAGAAAAAUAAACAUUUUGUGCUUGAAAACCGUGUGAAAAACCCGGUGUUUUUCUAAAAAGAGAAGCAUGUCAAUUCCCCAUUCUCCCGGGUCACUCUGCGCCUGUUUUCCAGCCUUCUGUGUGAAGGACUAGAUGCGUUACUUCUCCUGCACCUCGGUGCCUGCCCAGAGCUGCAUUCCACCUCUUGCAGCUGUAGAUGUGAUGCGGUGCUCCAGAAGCGACAUAGUGCCACCCCGCAGAACCUCGCUGCUGCUGCAGCAUUUCUGGUGCUCUGCUGCUGCAAAGCAGGCCGGGCCAGAACGUUAAAUGGGUUAUUUUAAGAGAUGGUAUCUUUAGCAUCUCAUUUGUACUGCCAGCGAUACUGCAGUUGGGUAGGUGGUAAAUGAGGCGUUUGGACCGUGCACAUUCCACAUUGCAAGUACCGGGGAAGCCCCAUUAGCAUGAUCCUGGCAUAAUUUAAAUGUGAGGGAGGGCAUCAAAGAAACUUGGCCCCAGUACAAGUUUGUGCUGUGUGCACACUCUUGCCAGUCACUGAUGUCGGUGUAGACUGCAAUAGAAAUGAGGAAGGGGUGUGCAGGAAGAGGUUUGAUACUUCUGCUCCUGUGGUUCUGUGCAUCUGAUCCAUGCAGCUUUGCUGUGGGUGCUGUGUACGUGUCAGGUGCCAGCCCUGCACUGCUGGUUGCUGGAGCUGUCCCUCCUCCUUUGACAUGGCCAAAGCUGAGGGAGCGUGCGGGGCUGCCUGGUGCCAGGGUUGGUCCAGAGCUAACCACGUUCAUUUUCUCUUUUAAAAUGAAGCUUUCAGCUUUUUAGUGUCUGCUUUCCUAAGCGGGGCAUCUUUAGCUAGCGGUGGGGCCAGAGGUUGAUGCUUUCAUUUCACAGUGUUCAUGACUUGAAUUUUGUGAUAGCCAUCUUGUCUUCAGUUUUCUGGCUGUGAACUUCCAGCUAUGUUUUGUUAUCCUUGAUCAUGCUGAAAGGUGCUUUGGCCCUUGAUAGAAAUUAAGCAAAUGACGUGGGAUGGAACAAAUGGGGCAACUUCUUGAAGAAAAUGUGAACAGAAUUGCUUUGCCUGCAUCUUUGGAAAGACCAAGUGCUCUGCUCCAAGGGGCUGCUGGUCAUUGGAUGUUUUGUGUUUUAAGAAACAGUUUUUGUUUCUUAAAAGCUGAAGUAUAUUUCUAGGAAGUCCACUUAAAUAGGACCAGUGGGCAAGAACUUGACUGUUAGCUACGUGCCUGUGCUUUAUACAAAGCCUUCUAAAAGCAAAAGGUGUGUGCAUGGCACGUAUUGGUGCCGCUCAGGCAGCAAGGCUGCCUGGUGUGCCGUGGGCUGGCUCCCGAUGGCCUGUGCGUUUUGCUGGAUUUAACCAACUUGUGCUGAGCCCUGUCAUCCAGCCUUAGCCUGGAGCAGGAGGCACCACAGGGCUGGUGCUGAAGCAUUGGAGGGGGGACAAGAUAUUGAAAGAGGGCUUCCAGCUGCUAAGUCACACAGCUGGUGGUAAGGAACUGGAAUGGGACCGGUCUCAUGUUAGGAAUGCAUCCAUCGACAGGGCAGCGUGGGAGGGGACCCUGCACACUUCAAGGCUCGCUUGUUCAUCUUGGCUCGGCCUCCCUGGCACAAGUGUCCAAUGAUUGAUGUAAAAACUUUCCCUUGCGUAACUCUGGUGUUCAUUCUAUAACUUAGUAUUAUUUAGCUGUUACUUUACACCUACCCCUCUUCCAUCACUGUCCAAUACAGCUUCCUUCAUUUCUCUCUGAGAUAUUUGACAUUGGUGGUUGUCAAAAGCAGGCUGAUGAACUGGACAGGCUGGUUGUCUGGCCAAGCGUGGCAGUCUGUGCGCUCCUGCAGAUUGAUUCCUGUUUGGAAAGAGGUAGUAGUGCUAAAUGCCAGUAUUUCUGAAAUGAACUUCCAAUCAAGAUGCGGGUUUUGCCAUUGGAUAUUUGGGGAAGAAAAUCCCUAAUGCCUUUGUGUCAUUCGUGAGGUUAACUUUACUUAACUUAACAGCUUUUUCAGCAGUUGCUUUUUCCCUUGAAGCAUUUUUGUGGCCCUGGUGCAGUGCUUCCAGUUCAGAGAAGUCAGAAUUUUCCUCAUAGACCUACUGUUCAGAGUGUUCAUGUUGGUAUUGCUCAAUAAGCAUGAGUUUGUUAUGGGCAUUGUUUGAGUGGUAAACACAUUCUUCUACAUCCUUUGAAAGUCAGCCCUGGAGAGUUUUGAUCAAAAGUCUCUGUUCUGAAAUCACUUGACCUCAGCAUUGCUUUCCCCAUCCCGCCUGAAGAAUGGCAAAGAUUUCAAGACUUUUGAGCAAGGUUGGCAUCUCAGAAGUUAGCCAAUAUGGCAAAAACCUGCUUAGUUUUCUGCAUUGCUGCCGAGGAUUCCCCGCCUGAGUUUCAGUGAUGUUGUUGAGGGUGUUGGCUUGGAGAUGCAGUAGUUUGUGAGUGUUUCAUACCUUUGUGAAGUGUUUUGUAUUCUGGUUCCUCUUCUGGCCUUCUCAGUCCCUGAUUUUUGGUGAUGUUUGUGGAAAAGGCUGGCUGUGCUGGAGAGGCGUGUCUGCUGAAUAGGGCCAAGAUCUCUGCAGCGUCCGCAAGCUGGAGCUUCAUUAGAGUUACAGAAUUGUAGAAUAUCACAAGUUGAGACCCAUUGUCAUGGAUGGAUGACUGUCUUGCUGUAGGAUUGGAUUUAUAAUAUGGCAAGAACAUGAUCACCUGGAAUCUCUUGACGUGGUUAUUUAUUGAAUCCUUGAGCAUGGGUUAUUUUUAGUAGUUUUUUUCUUUUUCUGUGUGUGUGUUUUUGUGGGGUUGACUUGUGCUUGUGCAGCUGUAUGAAAUGCAGAUGUGAGCUGAGAUUCAGCUGGGUAUUUGUGCAGGCUGACUGCUGCGCUGAUUGUUAUGUUUCUCUUGAAUGAACCUGGUAAAUACAAUUAUCUCCCUGUCUAUAUUGCUGAAACUAACUGUUGAGCAGAUGCGGGCUCUUGGGGCUGCCAUGUGUCGGUGAUGUUUGCCUGAGCAGGACUUGCCUUUUCCCAAGGGCUGUUUGUGGAGCUGUCCCUGCAUGUGCAGCAGGAAGGCGGUGUUCCGGCCCUGGCUCCAUGUUCUCUUAUUGAUGCAGACAAGCUGUAGAAGUGCACCAUAAUAAAACAGAUUUUAGGAGCUGUCAGGUUACAAAUUCUGCAUUAUGAAAGAAUUUCUUACUCAAAGGGACUUGGAUGUACUGUGGUGCUGAUGUUAGCUGUGUCGGUAAAUAGAUUACCUGUAACUGAUUCAUCUGGAAGGCUCAUACCAGGAGGCAGCAACUUCUGUAAAUUGUGUGGUCCCUUCUGCUAUUUUUCAUCUUCCGAAGUGAUAGCCUACUAUUAGGAUUGCUGUUACAUACGCUUGGAUCUAUAUUUGACUGUAAGACUUCUCCCUUGAAAUAAACUCCCCAACGAGAAGUCCAGAGGCUGCAUGAUUCAAGCCUUCACUUACACAUACGCAAACUUACUAAACUUUAGGUCUUUCUUGCUAAGGGUGGAGAAGCCAUGCACAGAAGAAGACCUGGUCUCACUGGGGAUCUGCUGUAAUGGUGGAAUUCUUGUGACAAGCCUGUGCUGGGUCUUUUUGAAGUCUGCAGAGGAAGGAACGCUCAGUUCCCACUGGGUGGGCUUUAAGGUGGUCUCUUCCAACCCAAGCCAUUCUGUGAUUGUUAUGGCUUCUCCAACUCCGGCCCAUCCUGCCUGCUGAGUGUGGCCGCAGCACUCCUUUGCUUUUGGAGCUUUGAGUAAUGGGACAGGCAUGCUGAGAGCCUCCUGAGCUGCUGUGCUCAUUUUGGGGGGAUCUGUCAAAGUCUUUCUGACUGAGAUAUUCAGGAGCUCUGACAUCUUGUAAAAACUUGGGAAGUUUAAAAAGAAAUAGCUGGUGCUCAUCCUUCUCAAAAUGAUGUUCUUUAGGUUAUUGGCAUAAAAUAACCUCUAAAAAUUAUUUACUCCUGUUGUUGUUUGGUGGUCUUCUUUUAUUUACUUGUAAACAAGGUAGAAACUUCUUCAGCAUUCAGUUUUUGUUUAUCAGGUUAGAUAUAGAACACCUAACACAUUUCUUAGUGCUUGUUUCCUUCUCUCUGGUCAGCAGCUACAAGAUACUAGGAGAUACUGGGCACAGGUUUUCCCACAAUGUUCUCCAACACAGAAAAUGUUGAGUGUAACUGAAUUCACUGAUCUCUUCAGUGCUGUAGAUGUUGCCCUUUCAGUUUUUGGCCAAGAGUUCAGGCUGCCUUCAGAAUAAGAAGUUCAGAAGUUGUCCACUGGGACAUGGGCUGAGUAUCUGUGAGGGUUUCUAUCAAGAACCAGGCACCUGGAGAGCUCGCUCUCAUUUUGGCUUGAUGGCUGACCCGCUGUGUAGGCUGGGGUACGUCCCAUUGCUAUCUUAAGGUUUUUCCCUGUUACCUGGAGAUCAUUAAUUUUGUCUUGUUUCAUUUUUCCUGGAUGAACUUCAGUGCCAGACGCUAGUGGGCAAAUGUUGAGAACUGUGGCGGAUUCAGGUGGAUCUGCAGAACCGAUGUUGAGCAGAAGCUUGUGGAAGGAUGACAACCAAGACACAGUUUUACUUCCUUUAAAGCAAUUCUUUCUACAGACAGACAGAGCAAGAAAGAGGGGAGGGAGAAAACUGGGACUGCAGUUAAUGAGAGCAAAGCCCAAAACAGGGAAUCCCCCCAGGAGCUAUGCCAAACACACAGUCUGUUUGCAGAGCACGCUUUUCCCCCACGUCCCAUGUAUUCCCUUCUGCCCUGAAGUACCCACUGCUUUUUUUUUUUUUCUGGAAGAAUGUUGCAAGCUUUAUGCUAUAUAAAAAUACAUGUGCUUGCAGAUCCAAUAACCAGUGAGCACGUUGCUGGGAUGUAGAGCGAGGGACGUCGGUUCACGUGCUGGCCCUGUGCUGCUGCUCCCACCCGGUGCUCGAUUCUGAAAAUGCGAUCGUCAGCGACUGACACGUGGCCCCCGCAGCUACGGUGCCAAGCGCCAGGUCCCGCUGCAGCUAAGGAGGAGGAAGAGGAAGAUGGGAAAUGAUUUGUCGUGUGUGAGAAAUUCUGUGCCGUUCUGGUCCAUUCUACACAAUUUUGUAACUUCUUUCUAAUCAUUUUUUUUAUUUAUAGUUGGAAAUACAAAAAUGUUAUGCAAAAAAUAAAGGAAAAUUAUUUUGGGGGAAAAGGACUUUGUUCCAAAUCGUUCCCUUCUGUUGUGAGCCAGGUUCCUGUGAGCAGCUUCUGGAGGAGAGGGAGGAGGAGGAGGAGGAGGCAUUCUUUCAAAUACUUUUUGUUUCAUACAGCUAAUUGUAAUUCAAGUGAUUAUCCAAAAGAUAAGCUAGGCACAUGUAUUCAGGUUCCACCAAAAAAAAAAAGUUCCAAGUCCAUUUGAAUUUCUCGCAGUCAGAGCUGUUCUUUUGUAAAGAGAAUACUUAAAAUCUGGUUAAAUCAAGUAAAGAAACCUACAGAGACUUCACUGGAGAGUAACUUUGUACUUGUCGUUUCCUUUUUUUUUAGCUCUUUCUUUUUCCUCGAGACUGGCCACAUUUUCUUGCCAGAGUUAAAUACAGUUCUCGAGUCACUUCUAAUUUUAAAUGUGAGCCUGAAAUCCUUCUGCAGACAAGUCAGUAAUUGGAGCAAUUUUUAAAAGACUUUCAAGUGCCUUCAACGAGCUAAAAUUAUGGUGGUGGGAGAUUUCUUUUCCUUGAUUCACUCACAAUAGGCUUCAGCUGUCUGCUGGGCUGGGGCGAUGUACAGAGCCGUUUGUAGCAAUAAUCUCAUGAGUAAUCAUUUAUUACAAAGGACUACUCGACUUUUUUUUUUCUUUUAGAGCGGUGGCUUUUAGUGCAGUUCCCGAGGAGCAGGAGUGCUGCUUUUGCCAUUGCGUUCUGGCCCCAAACUCUUCCAACCCACUGCUGUGCACUCAGAUUUCAGUGGCUUCCCCUCAGCAGGGUCAGACCCUGUGUUCUGUUCGCUCUGCUUCUGGUACCAGAGAAAUAUGGAUUUCUAGUUGCCCAUGAGCCUUUCCGUAUCAUCCCUUCUCGCAUCCGGAGCCUGGCAUAUUGUUUCGUUGUUAUCUGCCAUGUUUGUCUCUUCCAGCUCUCAGUUCUAAAUAAUAAAUCUUAUUUUGAUGCC
Molecule: RNA transcript, 13479 nt
Organism: Numida meleagris (helmeted guineafowl)
Lineage: Eukaryota; Metazoa; Chordata; Aves; Galliformes; Numididae
Gene: WNK2
Gene name: WNK lysine deficient protein kinase 2
Exons: 28
Source: RefSeq, a predicted model, not a curated record